RNAcentral lists this ribosomal RNA (1344 nucleotides) under uncultured Microbacterium sp. RNAcentral describes it as "bacterial SSU rRNA". It matches the Rfam family "Bacterial small subunit ribosomal RNA", at positions 27 to 1383 of the family's 1533-position model. The record is from RNAcentral. Lineage: Bacteria; Bacillati; Actinomycetota; Actinomycetes; Micrococcales; Microbacteriaceae.
GGAUGAACGCUGGCGGCGUGCUUAACACAUGCAAGUCGAACGGUGAAGCCAAGCUUGCUUGGUGGAUCAGUGGCGAACGGGUGAGUAACACGUGAGCAACCUGCCCUGGACUCUGGGAUAAGCGCUGGAAACGGUGUCUAAUACUGGAUAUGAGACGUGAUCGCAUGGUCGUGUUUGGAAAGAUUUUUCGGUCUGGGAUGGGCUCGCGGCCUAUCAGCUUGUUGGUGAGGUAAUGGCUCACCAAGGCGUCGACGGGUAGCCGGCCUGAGAGGGUGACCGGCCACACUGGGACUGAGACACGGCCCAGACUCCUACGGGAGGCAGCAGUGGGGAAUAUUGCACAAUGGGCGAAAGCCUGAUGCAGCAACGCCGCGCGAGGGAUGACGGCCUUCGGGUUGUAAACCUCUUUUAGCAGGGAAGAAGCGAAAGUGACGGUACCUGCAGAAAAAGCGCCGGCUAACUACGUGCCAGCAGCCGCGGUAAUACGUAGGGCGCAAGCGUUAUCCGGAAUUAUUGGGCGUAAAGAGCUCGUAGGCGGUUUGUCGCGUCUGCUGUGAAAUCCCGAGGCUCAACCUCGGGCCUGCAGUGGGUACGGGCAGACUAGAGUGCGGUAGGGGAGAUUGGAAUUCCUGGUGUAGCGGUGGAAUGCGCAGAUAUCAGAGGAACACCGAUGGCGAAGGCAGAUCUCUGGGCCGUAACUGACGCUGAGGAGCGAAAGGGUGGGGAGCAAACAGGCUUAGAUACCCUGGUAGUCCACCCCGUAAACGUUGGGAACUAGUUGUGGGGACCAUUCCACGGUUUCCGUGACGCAGCUAACGCAUUAAGUUCCCCGCCUGGGGAGUACGGCCGCAAGGCUAAAACUCAAAGGAAUUGACGGGGACCCGCACAAGCGGCGGAGCAUGCGGAUUAAUUCGAUGCAACGCGAAGAACCUUACCAAGGCUUGACAUAUACGAGAACGGGCCAGAAAUGGUCAACUCUUUGGACACUCGUAAACAGGUGGUGCAUGGUUGUCGUCAGCUCGUGUCGUGAGAUGUUGGGUUAAGUCCCGCAACGAGCGCAACCCUCGUUCUAUGUUGCCAGCACGUAAUGGUGGGAACUCAUGGGAUACUGCCGGGGUCAACUCGGAGGAAGGUGGGGAUGACGUCAAAUCAUCAUGCCCCUUAUGUCUUGGGCUUCACGCAUGCUACAAUGGCCGGUACAAAGGGCUGCAAUACCGUGAGGUGGAGCGAAUCCCAAAAAGCCGGUCCCAGUUCGGAUUGAGGUCUGCAACUCGACCUCAUGAAGUCGGAGUCGCUAGUAAUCGCAGAUCAGCAACGCUGCGGUGAAUACGUUCCCAGGUCUUG